AACUCAUAAGCAAAAGAUCCUUUUCUAUUAAGUUCACCGGAUCUUUCUUUUUAUUUAUUUAAAUUUGGUUGGAUCGCACAUAGCUGCAGAACUUGUCACGGGAGAAUCAAGGACACUUGGGAGUCUUUUUGCUGCUGAGCUUGUCACGGUAGCAAGGACACUCAUGCUUGUUCCCAUAAGUUCCUGAAGGAACACACUUGCACUCUUUGCAACAUAUUCCACAAUACUUCAAACAUCUAUCAUUCAUCCCUGCAUCUUUGCAUCUCACUUCACACUUCCCUCCACACCACUUAUCUAAUUCUGGUCCCACUUUGAUUUCAGGCGCAGGAGCCGCGGCGCCACCACCACCUUCAUCACCAUAAUUUAUUCAUUCCGAUUUUUUUCUUACAUGUAUAAAUAUACCUUUAGUGGUUUUGCAUCUUAUAGUUUUAACCAAUAAGAAAUA
This 445-nucleotide long non-coding RNA is filed under the name Brassica rapa (field mustard). RNAcentral's name for it is "long non-coding RNA (BRAP_LNC002118)". Lineage: Eukaryota; Viridiplantae; Streptophyta; Magnoliopsida; Brassicales; Brassicaceae. The record is from RNAcentral.